UCUGUGAGGAAUCGGAGGCCUCAAUGAGUUGCUGGAGUCCUCCUGGCACAUCUCGGAGCCAUGGGCUGCUGCCAGAUCACUGCCUCCCAGACGAAUGUGCGAGUGACUGAGCGCUCGAACUCAACCCAGAAGAGCUUAGAAAAAAAAGAAAGAAAAGAUUCAAGGCAAAUCUUGAGAGAAGCUGCGGUGCUGGGAGAUUUUGACGGAAUCCCACAGGGAGAGGCACAAUUAAGAAUCUCAUGCAGCAGAGCAUCCCUUUGUCCUUGUGAUUAGAGGAAGUGAGGACAUUCACCCUGGGCCAAAUAGUGCUGAUCCAGUGAUUCUGCUGCCUUCCAGGGACUGUUCUGGGGACUCAAGAAAGGGCAAAGAAGAAGAGAGAUUGGUUCUUGCUUUCCAGUACCCCGCGUUCUAACAAGGCAGGCAGUGAUGAACAUGUACAGGAGACUACAGAGCGGCUAACCCCUUC
Molecule: long non-coding RNA, 466 nt
Organism: Alexandromys fortis (reed vole)
Lineage: Eukaryota; Metazoa; Chordata; Mammalia; Rodentia; Cricetidae
Exons: 3
Source: RefSeq, a predicted model, not a curated record